UGGGGAUUAUUGGACAAUGGGGGGAACCCUGAUCCAGCCAUGCCGCGUGUGUGAAGAAGGCCUUAUGGUUGUAAAGCACUUUAAGCGAGGAGGAGGGUACUGGUAUUAAUACUACCAGCUACUGGACGUUACUCGCAGAAUAAGCACCGGCUAACUCUGUGCCAGCAGCCGCGGUAAUACAGAGGGUGCGAGCGUUAAUCGGAUUUACUGGGCGUAAAGCGUGCGUAGGCGGCUAAUUGAGUCGGAUGUGAAAUCCCCGAGCUUAACUUGGGAAUUGCAUUCGAUACUGGUUAGCUAGAGUGUGGGAGAGGAUGGUAGAAUUACAGGUGUAGCGGUGAAAUGCGUAGAGAUCUGGAGGAAUACCGAUGGCGAAGGCAGCCAUCUGGCCUAACACUGACGCUGAGGUACGAAAGCAUGGGGAGCAAACAGG
Molecule: ribosomal RNA, 430 nt
Filed under: Pseudomonadota bacterium
Lineage: Bacteria; Pseudomonadati; Pseudomonadota
Description: Proteobacteria bacterium partial 16S ribosomal RNA
Rfam family: Bacterial small subunit ribosomal RNA
Source: RNAcentral